RNAcentral lists this ribosomal RNA (253 nucleotides) under uncultured bacterium. RNAcentral's name for it is "partial 16S ribosomal RNA". It matches the Rfam family "Bacterial small subunit ribosomal RNA", at positions 524 to 776 of the family's 1533-position model. The record is from RNAcentral.
UACGGAAGGUGCAAGCGUUGUUCGGAUUGACUGGGCGUAAAGCGCACGUAGGCGGAAAAGUAUGUCGGUUGUGAAAUCCCCGGGCUCAACCUGGGAACUGCAACCGAAACUGCUUUUCUUGAAUACUGGAGAGGUUGAUGGAAUUCCAGGUGUAGGAGUGAAAUCCGUAGAUAUCUGGAGGAACACCAGCGGCGAAGGCGGUCAACUGGCCAAGUAUUGACGCUGAGGUGCGAAAGCGUGGGGAGCAAACAGG